GUUUCAGAUAAGAGAUUGUUAAGAUGUCAUGAUCACUCUAGCCACUGGACAAGGAUACUGAAAAUGAUUUAUUUAGAUCAAAACCUCCUGGCAUCUUCUCGUCGCAGUAGUGUAACUGGGCCCGAUCCAUUAUGUCUUAAAGCCGGUGAGAUUAUUAUGGAUCAGACUGGAAAUACUGGAGCUUCUGGGGCUUUCUCUUUGGAGGACCCUGCCAGUGCCAGAUACCAACCAAAGAGAAAGCC
Molecule: unclassified non-coding RNA, 242 nt
Filed under: Hevea brasiliensis (rubber tree)
Lineage: Eukaryota; Viridiplantae; Streptophyta; Magnoliopsida; Malpighiales; Euphorbiaceae
Source: RNAcentral